GACGAACGCUGGCGGCGUGCCUAAUACAUGCAAGUCGAGCGAAGUUUUUCUGGUGCUUGCACUAGAAAAACUUAGCGGCGAACGGGUGAGUAACACGUAAAGAACCUGCCUCAUAGACUAGGACAACUAUUGGAAACGAUAGCUAAUACCGGAUAACAGCAUUAACUGCAUGGUUGAUGUUUAAAAGUUGGUUAUGCUAACACUAUGAGAUGGCUUUGCGGUGCAUUAGCUAGUUGGUGGGGUAAAGGCCCACCAAGGCGACGAUGCAUAGCCGACCUGAGAGGGUGAUCGGCCACACUGGGACUGAGACACGGCCCAGACUCCUACGGGAGGCAGCAGUAGGGAAUCUUCCGCAAUGGGCGAAAGCCUGACGGAGCAACGCCGCGUGAGUGAAGAAGGAUUUCGGUUCGUAAAGCUCUGUUGUUAGGGAAGAAUGGAUAUGUAGUAACUAUACAUGUAAGAGACGGUACCUAACCAGAAAGCCACGGCUAACUACGUGCCAGCAGCCGCGGUAAUACGUAGGUGGCAAGCGUUGUCCGGAAUUAUUGGGCGUAAAGCGCGCGCAGGUGGUUUAAUAAGUCUGAUGUGAAAGCCCACGGCUCAACCGUGGAGGGUCAUUGGAAACUGUUAAACUUGAGUGCAGGAGAGAAAAGUGGAAUUCCUAGUGUAGCGGUGAAAUGCGUAGAGAUUAGGAGGAACACCAGUGGCGAAAGCGGCUUUUUGGCCUGUAACUGACACUGAGGCGCGAAAGCGUGGGGAGCAAACAGG
Molecule: ribosomal RNA, 768 nt
Filed under: uncultured bacterium
Lineage: Bacteria
Description: bacterial SSU rRNA
Rfam family: Bacterial small subunit ribosomal RNA
Source: RNAcentral